GAUGAACGCUAGCUACAGGCUUAACACAUGCAAGUCGCGGGGCAGCAUGGGGGUUGCUUGCAAUCCCCGAUGGCGACCGGCGCACGGGUGAGUAACGCGUAUCCAACCUGCCCUUCACCACGGGAUAACCCGGCGAAAGUCGGACUAAUACCGUAUGUUGUCCAUUGACGGCAUCCGAUUUGGACGAAAGGUUUGGCGGUGAAGGAUGGGGAUGCGUCCGAUUAGCUGGACGGCGGGGUGACGGCCCACCGUGGCGACGAUCGGUAGGGGUUCUGAGAGGAAGGUCCCCCACACUCGAACUGAGACACGGUCCAGACUCCUACGGGAGGCAGCAGUGAGGAAUAUUGGUCAAUGGGCGUAAGCCUGAACCAGCCAAGUAGCGUGCAGGAUGACGGCCCUAUGGGUUGUAAACUGCUUUUAUGCGGGGAUAAAGUGGCCCACGUGUGGGUUUUUGCAGGUACCGCAUGAAUAAGGACCGGCUAAUUCCGUG
Molecule: ribosomal RNA, 490 nt
Filed under: uncultured bacterium
Lineage: Bacteria
Description: partial 16S ribosomal RNA
Rfam family: Bacterial small subunit ribosomal RNA
Source: RNAcentral